CCUACGGGUGGCAGCAGUGGGGAAUAUUGCACAAUGGGGGAAACCCUGAUGCAGCGACGCCGCGUGAGUGUAGAAGCAAUUCGUUAGGUAAAGCUCUAUCAGCAGGGAAGAAAAUGACGGUACCUGAGUAAGAAGCCCCGGCUAACUACGUGCCAGCAGCCGCGGUAAUACGUAGGGGGCAAGCGUUAUCCGGAUUUACUGGGUGUAAAGGGAGCGUAGAGGGCAGGGGAAGUCUGGGGUGAAAGGGGGGGGCGAAACCCCGCGACGGGCUGUGAAACGGUUCGGGUGGGAGGGCGGGAGGGGUAGGAGGAAUGCGGGGUGUAGCGGUGAAAUGCUUAGAGAUCGCGGAGAA
RNAcentral lists this ribosomal RNA (352 nucleotides) under uncultured bacterium. Its description in RNAcentral is "partial 16S ribosomal RNA". It matches the Rfam family "Bacterial small subunit ribosomal RNA", at positions 338 to 706 of the family's 1533-position model. The record is from RNAcentral.